RNAcentral lists this unclassified non-coding RNA (253 nucleotides) under Patescibacteria group bacterium. RNAcentral describes it as "contains 16S-23S intergenic spacer region". It matches the Rfam family "Bacterial small subunit ribosomal RNA", at positions 524 to 776 of the family's 1533-position model. The record is from RNAcentral.
UACAGAGACCUCAAGCGUUAUCCGGAUUUAUUGGGCGUAAAGGGUCCGCAGGCGGCCUGGUCAGUCAUUCGUCAAAUCUUCGGGCUCAACCCGGGGGCUGCGAGUGAUACUGCUAGGCUAGAGACUGGGAGAGGCAUACGGAAUUGCCGGUGUAGCGGUAAAAUGCGUUAAUAUCGGCAAGAACACCAAAGGCGAAGGCAGUAUGCUGGAACAGAUCUGACGCUCAGGGACGAAAGCGUGGGUAGCGAAAGGG